UUACGGCCACAUCAUGUUGAAACACCGGUUCCCUUAGGAUCACUGAAGUUAAGCAACAUUGAGCCUGGUCAGUACCUACAUGGGUGACUGCUUGGGAAUAACAGGUGCU
Molecule: non-coding RNA, 109 nt
Organism: Acanthosepion pharaonis
Lineage: Eukaryota; Metazoa; Mollusca; Cephalopoda; Sepiida; Sepiidae
Source: the annotation of a GenBank genome assembly